GCCCGGAUGGCGGAAUCGGUAGACGCGGCGGUCUCAAACACCGCUGGUGGAAACACUGUGUGGGUUCGAGUCCCACUCCGGGCACCC
RNAcentral lists this transfer RNA (87 nucleotides) under Bacteroidota bacterium. RNAcentral's name for it is "Bacteroidetes bacterium (marine metagenome) tRNA-Leu". It matches the Rfam family "tRNA". From Rfam's summary of the family: Transfer RNA (tRNA) molecules are approximately 80 nucleotides in length. Their secondary structure includes four short double-helical elements and three loops (D, anti-codon, and T loops). Further hydrogen bonds mediate the characteristic L-shaped molecular structure. tRNAs have two regions of fundamental functional importance: the anti-codon, which is responsible for specific mRNA codon recognition, and the 3' end, to which the tRNAs corresponding amino acid is attached (by aminoacyl-tRNA synthetases). tRNAs cope with the degeneracy of the genetic code in two manners: having more than one tRNA (with a specific anti-codon) for a particular amino acid; and 'wobble' base-pairing, i.e. permitting non-standard base-pairing at the 3rd anti-codon position. The record is from RNAcentral. Lineage: Bacteria; Pseudomonadati; Bacteroidota.